GAGCCAGCCACCAGGUCAGACAUGCUGAAUCUUUUCCGGUUUUAUGGAAGUGAACCUGCAGCACAAGCUCUUCCAGUGGGAAGCUGCUGCAAAGAUGAAGACGCCCAUUUCAAAGGACCCACUAGGACUAGCACUCGCCUAGCAACUCGGUGGAAGGGAGGAAUGAAAUCCUGAGGUGUCCUCCAUCUGCGCAGGCUCGCGGUUUCAUGCCCACCCACGCACAUACAGUAAGAAGCGCACUAUUCACCAGUUGCUUCCACUGACGGCAGAGCACCAGGUUGUCUUCCCUGAGCUCCUAUGGUAACUAGCACUGCGGUGAGCAGCCUCCAGCUUGCACAGAAACCGUCCAAGAAAUGCAACUGUUGGAGGCUCGCGAUGUGGCAAAGGUGACAGUGUUUGCAUCCAUGAAAGCCUGGGAGCCAUCCCCAGCACUGCCCACAACCAGGUAUGACAGAGGAGUCUUGUAAAGUUAGCACUCCGAAGUCGAAGGCAGGAGGAUCCGAAGCUCAAGGCUAUGCUUGGGCUAUGUGAAAAUCACCUCAAGGGGCUGGAGAGAUGGCUCAGAGGUUAAGAGCAUUACUUGCUCUUCCAAAGGUCCUGAGUUCAAUUCCCAGCAACUACAUGGUGGCUCACAAC
Molecule: non-coding RNA, 636 nt
Organism: Myodes glareolus (Bank vole)
Lineage: Eukaryota; Metazoa; Chordata; Mammalia; Rodentia; Cricetidae
Source: RefSeq, a predicted model, not a curated record